AACUGAUAUAAAAAUAUUAUAUUAUAAAACUGAGGGUGGGGGCCAGGUAAAUGACCUUGGAGGGGCCGCAUUCGGGCCCCGGGCCUUAGUUUGGGGACCCCUGAUCUAUAGUAUCACUUUAAGACUUAAAGCAAUGCAAUCAUGGGAGACUUGAUUAAAUUAACAACAUGCUUUCUCCCAUGAGUAGAACCCACACCUUUUUCAAUAGGCAGAAGCUGUGUGCUUGUUGACAGCUGCAUCACUGGCAAAAGUCAAUUGGGAAAGUUUUCCAAAAUUUCACCAUUGCAUCCCCUUAUGUGGUUAUCAAAUGACUACAACUUCUAUUCUUCUAAAAUAUGCAAGCAAAAAGUUACUGCAUCCCUACUGUCUUCCUGUACUAGCUAAUGCUAUGCAUACAGGUGUCAGUAUGUUGCUAUUUGGGAUCUUAAGUCCAUAGCAUAGCUUUGCUCGUGGGGGUUUCUCCCACAGGCUGAGAAGGAUUGUUUCAGGAGCCCCACAUGUGUCUUGGAGGGGCAGCCAAUGAGAGGGACACAGGCAAGCCCCCGCCCCACCCCAAUAAAAGAGCUCAGCAACUGGGCUGGUUGUUACUAGUCUAUCUGGAUGCUGUUGUGUAAAAACAGGGAUAACUGAUUGCGUUAAGAAGAAACAUGGCCAAUCCACCAAGGACCCCUGCCAAGACCCCACGCCGCCGUGUUUCCUUGACCUCAAAGGAUGAGACACCGUCCCAGUUUUCUCGUGGCUGCCCCCUUCCCGAUGUCUGCUCCACAAGAGUCUCCCAGAUUCGCAAACAGGGCUGGAAAGCUCCCACUCCUGCUUGGGGUGGAGUUGCUGGAACAGAUGAGCCAUUCUUUUGUGGCCCGGGCAGUUGCUCGUGUGCUUAGUGAGGGGCAUGUCUUAUUCCAUCGAGUGCUGGCCGUGGUGACCUCUGGAAGUCCUCCCAUGAUGCAGGCUUUUGCUACUAAUGGGAUUUUGGGUGCUGUCUUAUCAGCUGCCCUCCAUGUCCCCUGCUUGUUACAUCAGCUGGAGCUGAUGAUGGAGCUGUGGCCAGACAGGCUGGAAAGACUGGGCAUGCUGCUGCACCUUCUGGAGGACACGUUUGGGCGGCGUCCUGCCCUCCGUCACCGCUAUGAACUGUUCCUACAAGAGCGGCAGUUGAGCCUCUCCUUGCCCAUACUCAGCACGGAGAUGGGCCCAGAGGCCUGGUUGAAAAAAGCCACCAGCAUUGCAGAACAUCUCCCUCUUCUGCCAGAGUUUGUGGCCACUGAUGAAGAAGAAGGUCCCCUGAUGAUGAAGCUGAAGGCCUUCCUAGGAGAGAGUAAUGAGGAGUUAGUGGCAGAAGCAACUUUUGUAGCAGAACAUGCAUCCAGUUUGUUGAAUAUGGCCCAUUUUCUCCGCCAGAUGGGUGAGCCGUUGGCCCAUCGAGUCUACGGAGAACUGGACUCCUUACGCGUUUCUUUCUCUUACCACUUAGACACAAGAUUGGGGCCUAACACAGAAAGACAAUUAGCUCUUUGCCAACCCCCACUGAUGGAUCGGUUUCGUGGGAUCCUGGCUCGUAGUCUGGCCAGGCUAGAGCACUUGUUUGACUCGCAUCCUGCUAUGUCUGCCCUGAGAGCAGUCCGAGUGCUAGAUCCCAAGCAGCUAGGGGCUGUGGGCCGGAGUGGAUUGGAGCACGAACAGGGGAUCCCUGGGCUGGCAGAGGUGCCAGAGAUUGAAUGGUUCCGGUACCAACACUUGGCAGAAGCAGCUCCGGCCAAUGUCUCUCUGCCCCAGUGGUGGGAAGUACAUGCAGAGCAGCUUCCCACACUGUCUCCACUGGCUCGGCGAUACCUCUGGCUGCCUGUCUGUUCUCCCAAGUCCCCCUUUGGCCCAGGAGAAGUGCUCAAGCUAAGAGGUGCUGAGGAGAGUUUGACCGGAGAGGCUGCCCGCCUCCUCUGUAUGCUCAAGUAUAAUCGUAACCGCCUGCUCUCUCGUGCCUGA
Molecule: long non-coding RNA, 1980 nt
Filed under: Anolis carolinensis (green anole)
Lineage: Eukaryota; Metazoa; Chordata; Lepidosauria; Squamata; Anolidae
Description: lncRNA (ENSACAG00000030811.2)
Source: RNAcentral